This 253-nucleotide ribosomal RNA is filed under the name uncultured bacterium. RNAcentral's name for it is "partial 16S ribosomal RNA". It matches the Rfam family "Bacterial small subunit ribosomal RNA", at positions 524 to 776 of the family's 1533-position model. The record is from RNAcentral.
UACGAAGGGGGCUAGCGUUGUUCGGAAUUACUGGGCGUAAAGCGCGCGCAGGCGGUCUUCCAAGUCAGUGGUGAAAGCCCGGAGCUCAACUCCGGAACUGCCAUUGAAACUGUUGGACUUGAGUACGAGAGAGGUGAGUGGAAUUCCCAGUGUAGAGGUGAAAUUCGUAGAUAUUGGGAAGAACACCGGUGGCGAAGGCGGCUCACUGGCUCGUAACUGACGCUAAGGCGCGACAGCGUGGGGAUCAAACAGG